Paramuricea clavata is the source of this 110-nucleotide non-coding RNA. The record is from the annotation of a GenBank genome assembly. Lineage: Eukaryota; Metazoa; Cnidaria; Anthozoa; Malacalcyonacea; Plexauridae.
ACAAUAUUUUGCUGUCCAUAUUGUUCCUGGUUGUUAACAAUAUUGUUCAGCAUUGUUCAGCAUGAACAAUAUUGUUAACAACCAGGAACAAUAUGGGCAAAAUAUUGUUC